RNAcentral lists this ribosomal RNA (440 nucleotides) under uncultured bacterium. Its description in RNAcentral is "partial 16S ribosomal RNA". It matches the Rfam family "Bacterial small subunit ribosomal RNA", at positions 338 to 795 of the family's 1533-position model. The record is from RNAcentral.
CCUACGGGUGGCAGCAGUGGGGAAUAUUGGGCAAUGGGCGCAAGCCUGACCCAGCAACGCCGCGUGAAGGAAGAAGGCUUUCGGUAUGUAAACUUCUAUCAGCAGGGAAGAAAAUGACGGUACCUGACUAAGAAGCCCCGGCUAACUACGUGCCAGCAGCCGCGGUAAUACGUAGGGGGCAAGCGUUAUCCGGAUUUACUGGGUGUAAAGGGAGCGUAGGCGGCGAUGCAAGUCAGAAGUGAAAGCCCGGGGCUCAACUCCGGGACUGCUUUUGAAACUGUAUGGCUAGAUUGCAGGAGAGGCAAGUGGAAUUCCUAGUGUAGCGGUGAAAUGCGUAGAUAUUAGGAGGAACACCAGUGGCGAAGGCGGCUUGCUGGACUGUAAAUGACGCUGAGGCUCGAAAGCGUGGGGAGCAAACAGGAUUAGAUACCCGGGUAGUC